CCUACGGGAGGCAGCAGUGGGGAAUAUUGCGCAAUGGGCGCAAGCCUGAUGCAGCAACGCCGCGUGAGGGAAGAAGGAAUUCGGGAUGUAAAGCUCUAUCAGCAGGGAAGAAAAUGACGGUACCUGUGUAGAACACCCCAGCUCACGACGGGCCAGCAGCUGCGGUGAUACGUGGAGGGCACACGUUAUCCGGAUUUACUGUGUGUAAAGGGGGCGUAGACGGCGGUGCAAGUCUGGAGUGAAAAGCGGGGGCUCAACCCCCGAACUGCUCUUGAAACUGUUCGGCUGGAGUGCAGGAGAGGUAAGUGGAAUUCCUAGUGUAGCGGUGAAAUGCGUAGAUAUUAGGAGGAACACCAGUGGCGAAGGCGGUCUACUGGACUGUAACUGACGUUGAGGCGCGAAAGCGUGGGGAGCAAACAGGAUUAGAUACCCCAGUAGUC
RNAcentral lists this ribosomal RNA (440 nucleotides) under uncultured bacterium. RNAcentral's name for it is "partial 16S ribosomal RNA". It matches the Rfam family "Bacterial small subunit ribosomal RNA", at positions 338 to 795 of the family's 1533-position model. The record is from RNAcentral.